Molecule: ribosomal RNA, 253 nt
Filed under: uncultured bacterium
Lineage: Bacteria
Description: partial 16S ribosomal RNA
Rfam family: Bacterial small subunit ribosomal RNA
Source: RNAcentral
GACGAAGGGGGCUAGCGUUGUUCGGAAUUACUGGGCGUAAAGCGCGUGUAGGCGGUUGCCCAAGGCGGGUGUGAAAGCCUUGAGCUCAACUCAAGAAUUGCACUCGGUACUGGGUGGCUAGAGGACCGGAGAGGAUAGUGGAAUUCCCAGUGUAGUGGUGAAAUACGUAGAGAUUGGGAAGAACACCAGUGGCGAAGGCGGCUAUCUGGACGGUUUCUGACGCUAAGACGCGAAAGCGUGGGGAGCAAACAGG